AAAGGGGUAAGCAUAUUUCCCUUACAUUUUUGGUAACACUAUCAAUUUGCAUGACAUAAUUUUAUUAUCAUGUGACAGGAUUCCGUCUAUAAAGGCCAAACAAAAGAAGACACACAAUAAGAAGAAGUUAGAUUUCACUCCAUGAUACUAAUUGGAUUUGGAACAAACGAAGAAGACACCAAUUUUUAUACGAUAAAAGGGGUACACAAUGGGGGGAGAAGGGCUACCUAAAAGUAGCAAGACCACCAAGUCUACCUGAAGAAGGAGAACAUGAAUAUGACCGUUGCAAACAUGAACAUGAGGGAGUGUAUGCAGAUACUGUUGACGUGGCUCUUUACUACAUCAAAGCGAACGGAAUUGUAGAAGAUAGGUACUAUGGCUCAUUUACAGGAAAAAAAAAUGGAAAUUCAAACGAAAGACAAGAGAGCGGAUGAGAAACUUGAUACGAGGUGGUGGAUUUGAGGAAAUAGAUCACGAAGAGGAAGAACAAGUGAUGGAACGAAUUGAAAUACAACCCCUUUAUAGUUGUAUGAAGCUUUGCAAUGACUUUUACAAAUGUA
Molecule: long non-coding RNA, 560 nt
Organism: Alnus glutinosa
Lineage: Eukaryota; Viridiplantae; Streptophyta; Magnoliopsida; Fagales; Betulaceae
Exons: 3
Source: RefSeq, a predicted model, not a curated record